CUGGGAGCCUCCCAGCCGCGAUCCUCCGGGGCGGGACUUCCGGCUUCCCUGCUCCCACAAAAUGACGCCAAAUUCCAGCGAAACAGCUGAUGCCAGCCAGCUUGAAGACCCCUGCCACAGAAGAAGGGAAUCAGCAUGAGAAUACAGCUUCUUCAUCUCGCUGUCCCAUGACUUCGCCCUGUACUCUUCAGCCAAUUAAUGAUCUCCACACUUGGGACCACUCUAAAACCCUUAAGAACCUGAGACUCAAAGUCCUCCUGGAGACGAAUUUGAGGUUUCCUCCUAUCUGUGUUUGGUGGCCCUAUGAUUAAACCUCUUUCUCUUCUGCAACCUGGUGUCCCAGUGUAUUAACUUGCCAUGGGCAUCAGACAACAAACCUAUAUAUAGUAUCCCAAAUAUGGUGCUCCACUUUGAAACCUGAAGAAAUCCUGCAAUUGAGUUAGCCUUUUGAAAUAAAAAUUAUUUCAAAUUUUAAAAUAUUUAUAUAUGUUUCCACUUAAGAUAUCUACAAGCAUUUGUUUACAACCUUUUAUCUUGCUUUGCAUCUUAAACAUUUCUGUAUGGCAAUUUCCGUGUCUUCCUAUCAUCUCGGCCAUCUUAGUGCAAAGAUACAAAAUUGUGUGGCUUAUUAAGAAAAAUUACAGUAAGCUAAGGGUAGGUUAAAGGAUCUGAAACUUAGCAGGAAAAAUGAGCAGAAAUUAAAGCUAUAAAAGGCAUGGAUCCUGCUCCAGUUCUCUUUGCUUCUCCUUUGUUCUCUGUCUUCCUCACUUUUAACUGCCUUCUUUGUUUCCCUUGAACCUGACUACUUAAAAAAAAAAUUGAAGAUCUAAAUUAUCUCAAGGCUAAAAGGAUUUUUGUUUAGGAAGUAUGAAGAUUAAUUCAAUUAAAUAAAUACUUAUUGAGCAUUGACUAUCAGGGGAAUACUGGAAGAUAGGCCUGCAGAGGAACAUGUCAGAAUGAUCACACUAUUUGUGGGUGUGUAAUCUGGAAGCUGUACCAUGAUUAGUUGAAAGAGAGACUGAAGGCAAGAAAAACAGUGUGGUGACUUGGAGAAGAACCAAGACAUAAGGAAAUGAAGACCUACUCUUGGGUGAUGACAGUAAAAAUAAUGGAAUAGGCCUGAGAGACAGGAAAAGGGAGAACUGAUGAGACUCAGUUACUGAUAGGGCUAAAGAGGAGGAAGGACAGGGCAAGGUGGCUCACGCCUGUAAUCCCAGCACUUUGGGAGGCAAGGCAGGAAGAUCACUUGAGCCCAGGAAUUCAAGACCAGCCUGAGCAACAUGACAAAACCCCAUCUCUACAAAAAAUACAAAAAUUAGGCUGGGCGCAGUGGCCCAGGCCUGUAAUCCCAGCACUUUGGGAGGCCGAGGUGGGUG
This 1376-nucleotide long non-coding RNA is filed under the name Homo sapiens (human). RNAcentral describes it as "HSALNT0043354". The record is from RNAcentral. Lineage: Eukaryota; Metazoa; Chordata; Mammalia; Primates; Hominidae.